RNAcentral lists this ribosomal RNA (376 nucleotides) under uncultured bacterium. Its description in RNAcentral is "bacterial SSU rRNA". It matches the Rfam family "Bacterial small subunit ribosomal RNA", at positions 30 to 418 of the family's 1533-position model. The record is from RNAcentral.
AUUGAACGCUGGCGGCAGGCCUAACACAUGCAAGUCGAGCGGGGUUUUCGGACCUAGCGGCGGACGGGUGAGUAAUGCGUAGGAAGCUACCCGAUAGAGGGGAUACCAGUUGGAAACGACUGUUAAUACCGCAUAAUGUCUACGGACCAAAGUGUGGGACCUUCGGGCCACAUGCUAUCGGAUGCGCCUACGUGGGAUUAGCUAGUUGGUGAGGUAAUGGCUCACCAAGGCGACGAUCUCUAGCUGGUUUGAGAGGAUGAUCAGCCACACUGGAACUGAGACACGGUCCAGACUCCUACGGGAGGCAGCAGUGGGGAAUAUGGACAAUGGGCGAAAGCCUGAUCCAGCAAUGCCGGCGUGGAGUGAUGAAGGCCUU